ACAAAAAGUACUCGUGCGUAUGUGUGUAUAUCUUUAGAACACCAUUCUAAGAUUAGCUUUUAUAAAAACUACUCGUGCGUUGGUACAGAACCAUGAAGAUACUCUUUACAUUGUUUCUACUCUUCGUGUUAAGUAUUGUGUUUACAAAUGCGCAAGGAAAUGUGAGAAAAAAUUUCAGCCAUAAAAUUAUAACGCCUCGGUUUCAAAAUAAUAUUUUCAAAUCAUUGAAAAUAAAUCUUUAAGCACAAACACCAACACAAUCAAGAUGAAAGAGUGGGAGGAAAUAUUAUAAAUAUACCCUAUACAAGGUUUAACGAGUUGAAUAGCAGACGUGAGUUAAAUUAGCUGAAAAUUCAGUAGAAAGCCAUGAAGAUCAAUGCUCGAAAACAAGAAGCUAAGGCAACAGGCCACUUGGAUUGAUAUUUACCUCCCCAUGGCCCUAUGUUCCGAUUGCACUCAAAACUUUCAAAUAGGGUGGUAUAAAGCCACCUCUGGCGUCACCAGCUAGAUUAUUUUUUACCAUGUCAAUAAUAAAAACUGCAGAAAAUCGGUAUUUUGAUUUCUC
Molecule: non-coding RNA, 565 nt
Organism: Spodoptera litura
Lineage: Eukaryota; Metazoa; Arthropoda; Insecta; Lepidoptera; Noctuidae
Source: RefSeq, a predicted model, not a curated record